GUUGUGGCUCAGAGGUAGAGUGCUCGCCUAGCAUGUGUGAGGCCCUGGGUUCGAUCCUCAGCACAACA
This 68-nucleotide transfer RNA is filed under the name Ictidomys tridecemlineatus (thirteen-lined ground squirrel). RNAcentral describes it as "Spermophilus tridecemlineatus (thirteen-lined ground squirrel) tRNA". It matches the Rfam family "tRNA". From Rfam's summary of the family: Transfer RNA (tRNA) molecules are approximately 80 nucleotides in length. Their secondary structure includes four short double-helical elements and three loops (D, anti-codon, and T loops). Further hydrogen bonds mediate the characteristic L-shaped molecular structure. tRNAs have two regions of fundamental functional importance: the anti-codon, which is responsible for specific mRNA codon recognition, and the 3' end, to which the tRNAs corresponding amino acid is attached (by aminoacyl-tRNA synthetases). tRNAs cope with the degeneracy of the genetic code in two manners: having more than one tRNA (with a specific anti-codon) for a particular amino acid; and 'wobble' base-pairing, i.e. permitting non-standard base-pairing at the 3rd anti-codon position. Lineage: Eukaryota; Metazoa; Chordata; Mammalia; Rodentia; Sciuridae. The record is from Rfam by way of RNAcentral.